ACUCAAAGGAAUUGACGGGGGCCCGCACAAGCGGCGGAGCAUGUUGCUUAAUUCGACGCGACGCGAAGAACCUUACCAGGGCUUGACAUGUAGGGAAAAGCCGUGGAGACACGGUGUCCGCAAGGGCCCUACACAGGUGUUGCAUGGCUGUCGUCAGCUCGUGUCGUGAGAUGUUGGGUUAAGUCCCGCAACGAGCGCAACCCUUGUCCUAUGUUGCCAGCGGUUCAAGCCGGGGACUCAUAGGAGACUGCCGGGGUCAACUCGGAGGAAGGUGGGGACGACGUCAAGUCAUCAUGGCCCUUAUGUCCUGGGCUGCAAACAUGCUACAAUGGCCGGUACAGAGGGCUGCAAACCCGCGAGGGGGAGCCAAUCCCAAAAAGCCGGUCUCAGUUCGGAUCGGGGUCUGCAACUCGACCCCGUGAAGUCGGAGUCGCUAGUAAUCGCGGAUCAGCAACGCCGCGGUGAAUACGUUCCCGGGCCUUGUACACACCGCCCGU
Molecule: ribosomal RNA, 497 nt
Filed under: uncultured bacterium
Lineage: Bacteria
Description: partial 16S ribosomal RNA
Rfam family: Bacterial small subunit ribosomal RNA
Source: RNAcentral